Non-coding RNA from Misgurnus anguillicaudatus (oriental weatherfish), 667 nucleotides. The record is from RefSeq and is a predicted model, not a curated record. NCBI's taxonomy places the organism in Eukaryota, Metazoa, Chordata, Actinopteri, Cypriniformes, Cobitidae.
AGACACGCAUCUUCUUCCUAAAACCCCGCCCACAGAGUCACGACGCACUCACGUAAUAAGAGAUUAAGAGCGCGUGAUUUGAACGCCAAAGAAGAAAUGAAUAUGGAACAACAGAGAAGUAAGAAGCACCAGGACCUUCUGAUUAUACAGUCGUUUUCCUAGAAGAAAUUGCAUCCCCUGGAUUCACAGCAUCUGAGAAUCCUGUGAAAGUCAAGGGCAGCUAUAAAAGUGUUGACAGCAGUGUUUGAGGGCUCAGGACCACCACACCAGCAGGGAAGCAAGGUGGAGUCUUUGUAUAUGUUGAAGACGGUGUUUGUGAAUGUGUGCGAGUUUGACAGUGGUGCCGGUGAUAGAGAUGACCUCUUGUGGGCCACAGUGUGCUGUGAGGAGAAAAGAAUCUCCACAUUGCUGCCCAGGCUGGAAUUUGUGCUUGUGAAGUAUUUAACUUUAUGAAAUCCCGAUUGCACUCUGCAGGAAGGGUUGUACUUUUUUGCCAAGAGCUUUGCUCUUCAGGUGGCUCUUGUGUCUGGAUCCUAAAUGUGUGUGUACAGUAUGUGGAGUACUUGAGGAUUGAUUGGAUAAUGGAUCUGCUGUCAGUGAGGUGAAAGUGAGCUAAUGUAAGAAGAAGGCUGAAAAUAUAGCUAUAUAUGUUAUAACCUCAUACAGU